This 89-nucleotide microRNA precursor is filed under the name Pteropus vampyrus (large flying fox). RNAcentral's name for it is "miRNA (ENSPVAG00000028487.1)". Lineage: Eukaryota; Metazoa; Chordata; Mammalia; Chiroptera; Pteropodidae. The record is from RNAcentral.
AGGGUGACCAACCAUCUGGGUUUGCCUGGGACUGAGGACUUACAGUGCUAAAAGUGGAGAGUCCUGAACAAACCAGAAUGGUUGGUCAU